Molecule: ribosomal RNA, 201 nt
Filed under: uncultured bacterium
Lineage: Bacteria
Description: partial 16S ribosomal RNA
Rfam family: Bacterial small subunit ribosomal RNA
Source: RNAcentral
UACGUAGGGUGCAAGCGUUGUCCGGAAUUAUUGGGCGUAAAGAGCUCGUAGGCGGUUCGUCGCGUCGGCUGUGAAAAACCCGGAGCUCAACUCCGGGCCUGCAGUCGAUACGGGCGGACUCGAGUUCGGCAGGGGAGACUGGAAUUCCUGGUGUAGCGGUGAAAUGCGCAGAGUAUCAGGAGGAACACCGGUGGCGAAGGC